AGAACGAACGCUGGCGGCAUGCCUAAUACAUGCAAGUCGAACGAACUCUUCGGAGUUAGUGGCGCACGGGUGCGUAACGCGUGGGAAUCUGCCCUUGGGUUCGGAAUAACAGUUGGAAACGACUGCUAAUACCGGAUGAUGACGAAAGUCCAAAGAUUUAUCGCCCAGGGAUGAGCCCGCGUAGGAUUAGCUAGUUGGUGAGGUAAAGGCUCACCAAGGCGACGAUCCUUAGCUGGUCUGAGAGGAUGAUCAGCCACACUGGGACUGAGACACGGCCCAGACUCCGUACGGGAGCAGCAGGUA
This 303-nucleotide ribosomal RNA is filed under the name uncultured soil bacterium. RNAcentral describes it as "bacterial SSU rRNA". It matches the Rfam family "Bacterial small subunit ribosomal RNA", at positions 26 to 356 of the family's 1533-position model. The record is from RNAcentral.